CGGACGGGUGAGUAAUGUCUGGGAAACUGCCCGAUGGAGGGGGAUAACUACUAGAAACGGUAGCUAAUACCGCAUAACGUCGCAAGACCAAAGAGGGGGACCUUCGGGCCUCUUGCCAUCGGAUGUGCCCAGAUGGGAUUAGCUAGUAGGUGGGGUAAAGGCACACCUAGGCGACGAUCCCUAGCUGGUCUGAGAGGAUGACCAGCCACACUGGAACUGAGACACGGUCCAG
This 232-nucleotide ribosomal RNA is filed under the name uncultured bacterium. RNAcentral describes it as "partial 16S ribosomal RNA". It matches the Rfam family "Bacterial small subunit ribosomal RNA", at positions 99 to 334 of the family's 1533-position model. The record is from RNAcentral.